AACGAACGCUGGUGGCAUGCCUAACACAUGCAAGUCGAACGAGACCUUCGGGUCUAGUGGCGCACGGGUGCGUAACGCGUGGGAAUCUGCCCUUGGGUACGGAACAACUGUUAGAAAUGACUGCUAAUACCGCAUAAUGACUCCGGUCCAAAGAUUUAUCGCCCAAGGAUGAGCCCGCGUCGGAUUAGCUAGUUGGUGAGGUAAAAGCUCACCAAGGCGACGAUCCGUAGCUGGUCUGAGAGGAUGAUCAGCCACACUGGGACUGAGACACGGCCCAGACUCCUACGGGAGGCAGCAGUGGGGAAUAUUGGACAACGGGCGAAAGCCUGAUCCAGCAAUGCCGCGUGAGUGAUGAAGGCCUUAGGGUUGUAAAGCUCUUUUACCCGGGAUGAUAAUGACAGUACCGGGAGAAUAAGCCCCGGCUAACUCCGUGCCAGCCGCCGCAGUAA
Molecule: ribosomal RNA, 449 nt
Filed under: uncultured bacterium
Lineage: Bacteria
Description: partial 16S ribosomal RNA
Rfam family: Bacterial small subunit ribosomal RNA
Source: RNAcentral